UUAUGAUUUGGGCUACACACGUGCUACAAUGGCGUAAACAAAGGGAAGCGAGAUUGUGAGAUGGAGCAAAUCCCAAAAAUAACGUCCCAGUUCGGACUGUAGUCUGCAACCCGACUACACGAAGCUGGAAUCGCUAGUAAUCGCGGAUCAGAAUGCCGCGGUGAAUACGUUCCCGGGUCUUGUACACACCGCCCGUCACACCAUGGGAGUCAGUAACGCCCGAAGUCAGUGACCUAACUGCAAAGAAGGAGCUGCCGAAGGCGGGACCGAUGACUGGGGUGAAGUCGUAACAAGGUAGCCGUAUCGGAAGGUGCGGCUGGAUCACCUCCUUUCUAAGGAA
RNAcentral lists this ribosomal RNA (340 nucleotides) under Ruminococcus sp. AM28-41. RNAcentral's name for it is "bacterial SSU rRNA". It matches the Rfam family "Bacterial small subunit ribosomal RNA", at positions 1202 to 1533 of the family's 1533-position model. Lineage: Bacteria; Bacillati; Bacillota; Clostridia; Eubacteriales; Oscillospiraceae. The record is from RNAcentral.